RNAcentral lists this long non-coding RNA (526 nucleotides) under Androctonus crassicauda. Lineage: Eukaryota; Metazoa; Arthropoda; Arachnida; Scorpiones; Buthidae. The record is from RNAcentral.
AAUAUUUGAUAUAAAUUAAUGUAAAUGACUAAUGCUUUAUAACUGAAAUAAUGAAGUAAUUUGUAUUUAUCAUAAUGUGAUAUAACUUUUUGCUUUGUUCAAAUCGUGCAUCAUUUUUCAAUAUAAACAUAUUUUUUACAGAUAUAACCAAAGUCACAUUAUUACCUGGAAUCCCAUCCGACGUUGAUAUGGUUGACAGAAGAGACGAUUUCCGUAUCUUUGGACAGGCUUAAGAUGCACUUUAGAAAAUAUGAAUGCAAUAAUUGUAGCCACUGCCGUAUUGCAUACUAUUGCCCUUAAUUUAGGUGAUUUGGAGCCACCAAUAGAUUUUGAAACUCAAAAUCAAUCAGAUUCUCUCUCAGGUAUUUCAACACCUUAUAGUAUUUUGCAAAACAAUUCUGGAGGAUUUAUAAAAAAAGAUAUAAUCAUUAGGGAUUUCUAUAAUUGUAAAAAUUUCACUUGAUUUACACUGAAAUGCAUUUGUUAUAACAAACUCAGUGAAAUGUGUAUGGUGCUAAGAGAACAG